GGACCCGCACAAGUAGUGGAGCAUGUGGUUUAAUUCGAAGAUACGCGCAGAACCUUACCAACACUUGACAUGUUCGUCGCGACUUUAAGAGAUUAAAGUUUUCGGUUCGGCCGGACGAAACACAGGUGCUGCAUGGCUGUCGUCAGCUCGUGUCGUGAGAUGUUGGGUUAAGUCCCGCAACGAGCGCAACCCUCACUUUUAGUUGCCAUCAUUUAGUUGGGCACUCUGAAAGAACUGCCAGUGAUAAGCUGGAGGAAGGUGGGGAUGACGUCAAGUCCUCAUGGCCCUUACGUGUUGGGCUACACACGUGCUACAAUGGUAUCUACAACAGGAAGCAAGACGGCAUGAAGUCGGAAUCGCUAGUAAUCGCGUAACAGCAUGACGCGGUGAAUACGUUCCCGGGCCUUGUACACACCGCCCGUCACACCA
This 429-nucleotide ribosomal RNA is filed under the name uncultured bacterium. Its description in RNAcentral is "bacterial SSU rRNA". It matches the Rfam family "Bacterial small subunit ribosomal RNA", at positions 917 to 1404 of the family's 1533-position model. The record is from RNAcentral.